Molecule: ribosomal RNA, 457 nt
Filed under: uncultured bacterium
Lineage: Bacteria
Description: bacterial SSU rRNA
Rfam family: Bacterial small subunit ribosomal RNA
Source: RNAcentral
GAUGAACGCUAGCGGCAGGCCUAACACAUGCAAGUCGAGGGGUAGAGUUCUUCGGGACUUGAGACCGGCGCACGGGUGCGUAACGCGUAUGCAAUCUACCUUAUACAGGGGAAUAGCCCAGAGAAAUUUGGAUUAAUGCCCCAUAGUGUUAUCGAAUCGCAUGGUUUGAUAACUAAAGUUCCAACGGUAUAAGAUGAGCAUGCGUCCCAUUAGUUAGUUGGUAAGGUAACGGCUUACCAAGACAAUGAUGGGUAGGGGUCCUGAGAGGGAGAUCCCCCACACUGGUACUGAGACACGGACCAGACUCCUACGGGAGGCAGCAGUGAGGAAUAUUGGACAAUGGGCGCAAGCCUGAUCCAGCCAUGCCGCGUGCAGGAUGACGGUCCUAUGGAUUGUAAACUGCUUUUUGACUAGGAAGUAAACACCUCUACGUGUAGAGACUUGACGGUACUGUAAG